This 503-nucleotide ribosomal RNA is filed under the name uncultured bacterium. RNAcentral's name for it is "bacterial SSU rRNA". It matches the Rfam family "Bacterial small subunit ribosomal RNA", at positions 30 to 507 of the family's 1533-position model. The record is from RNAcentral.
AUUGAACGCUGGCGGCAUGCCUAAUACAUGCAAGUCGAACGGUAACGGACCGCUGGGAUUCCUUCGGGAUGACCUUGGUGCCGACGAGUGGCGGACGGGUGAGUAAUACUUAGGAAUCUGCCCAGUAGUGGGGGACAACAUUCGGAAACGGAUGCUAAUACCGCAUACGCCCUACGGGGGAAAGUGGGGGAUCUUCGGACCUCACGCUAUUGGAUGAGCCCAAGUCGGAUUAGCUUGUUGGUAGGGUAACGGCUUACCAAGGCGACGAUCCGUAGCUGGUCUGAGAGGACGAUCAGCCACACUGGGACUGAGACACGGCCCAGACUCCUACGGGAGGCAGCAGUAGGGAAUAUUGGACAAUGGGCGCAAGCCUGAUCCAGCAAUGCCGCGUGUGUGAAGAAGGCCUGCGGGUUGUAAAGCACUUUCAGUAGAGAAGAAAAGCCUCGGGUUAAUACCCCGGAGUCUUGACGUAACCUACAGAAGAAGCACCGGCUAACUCCGUG